GAUGAACGCUGGCGGCGUGCCUUAUACAUGCAAGUCGAGCGAACGGACGAGAUUCUUGCUUCUCUGAUGUUAGCGGCGGACGGGUGAGUCACCCGUGCGUACCCUACCUAUAGGGAUGGGAUAGCUUCAGGAAACUGAAUCUAACAUCGGACAUUAUUUUGAACGCCAUGGUUCAAAAGUGAAAGAGGUUCUUGCUGUGCCUUAUACGUAGAUCCGCGCUGCAUUAGCUAGUUGGUAAGGUAACGGCUUACCAAGGCAACGAUGCAUAGCCGACCUGAGAGGGUGAUCGGCCACACUGGAACUGAGACACGGUCCAGACUCCUACGGGAGGCAGCAGUAGGGAAUCUUGCGCAAUGGGCGAAAGCCUGAUGGAGCCACGCCGCGUGAGUGAUGAAGGUCUUCGGAUCGUAAAACUCUGUUAUUAGGGAAGAAAACAUGUGUAAGUAACUGUGCACAUCUUGACGGUACCUGAACAGAAAGCCACGGCUAACUACGUG
RNAcentral lists this ribosomal RNA (497 nucleotides) under uncultured bacterium. RNAcentral describes it as "partial 16S ribosomal RNA". It matches the Rfam family "Bacterial small subunit ribosomal RNA", at positions 28 to 507 of the family's 1533-position model. The record is from RNAcentral.